GGCAACGUGUCCGAGUGGUUAAGGAGUCAGACUCGAAUGUCUAAAUUCUGUUAUCUGAUACUUUCGAGUGCGCAGGUUCGAGUCCUGCCGUUGUCG
Non-coding RNA from Delphinella strobiligena, 96 nucleotides. NCBI's taxonomy places the organism in Eukaryota, Fungi, Ascomycota, Dothideomycetes, Dothideales, Dothioraceae. The record is from the annotation of a GenBank genome assembly.